Molecule: non-coding RNA, 28 nt
Filed under: Bombyx mori (domestic silkworm)
Lineage: Eukaryota; Metazoa; Arthropoda; Insecta; Lepidoptera; Bombycidae
Source: RNAcentral
UUCUCAAUAUGUUCGAAGAAUUGUGAGU